Molecule: ribosomal RNA, 503 nt
Filed under: uncultured bacterium
Lineage: Bacteria
Description: bacterial SSU rRNA
Rfam family: Bacterial small subunit ribosomal RNA
Source: RNAcentral
GGUUCAGGAUGAACGCUAGCGACAGGCCUAACACAUGCAAGUCAGGGGCAGCACAAGGAGCAAUCUGAGGUGGCGACCGGCGCACGGGUGAGUAACACGUAUGCAACCUGCCUGUAAGCGGGGAAUAACCCGUUGAAAGACGGACUAAUACCGCAUAAUACUAAAUUACUGCAUGGUAAUUUAUUUAAACAUUUAUGGCUUACAGAUGGGCAUGCGCAUGAUUAGCUAGUUGGAGAGGUAACGGCUCCCCAAGGCAACGAUCAUUAGGGGUUCUGAGAGGAAGGUCCCCCACACUGGUACUGAGACACGGACCAGACUCCUACGGGAGGCAGCAGUGAGGAAUAUUGGUCAAUGGACGAGAGUCUGAACCAGCCAAGUCGCGUGCAGGAAGAAUGUUCCCUAUGGAUUGUAAACUGCUUUUGCAGGGGAAUAAAGUGCAUCACGUGUGAUGUUUUGUAUGUACUCUGCGAAUAAGGAUCGGCUAACUCCGUGCCAGCAGCCGC